UUCCCUUAAAUCAAAGUUUGCUUUCUGCUGCUAUGGUUUUCUUUAUAUAUUAUAUACAUGAUUACCAUCAAUUAUCCACUGAUUUCUAAGAAACAAAUUACCAUAAUGUAAUACUCCCUCCGUUUCAAAAUAUAAGCAAAUUUUACUUUUUAGGUUCAUUCAUUUAAUGAUGUAUGUGAUCUAUAUUAUAAACCACAUACAUCAUUAAUUGAAUGAACCUAAAAAGUAAAAUUUGCUUAUAUUUUGAAACGGAGGGAGUACACUUUUAUCAGUCAAACAUUAAAAACCAAAGGACAACCAAAAAAAUGUCUUCAAAACUAGGUUACAUUUCAAGGAUUUCUUUGAAAGCAAAAAUGAGCCACCUUAAAAAAACUAUGUUUGACAUAAGGAUGUCU
This 395-nucleotide long non-coding RNA is filed under the name Medicago truncatula (barrel medic). RNAcentral describes it as "long non-coding RNA (MTRU_LNC003984)". The stretch from base 130 to 242 matches the Rfam family "MIR2593 microRNA precursor family". The record is from RNAcentral. Lineage: Eukaryota; Viridiplantae; Streptophyta; Magnoliopsida; Fabales; Fabaceae.